Molecule: non-coding RNA, 199 nt
Rfam family: GcvB RNA
About the family: The gcvB gene encodes a small untranslated RNA involved in expression of the dipeptide and oligopeptide transport systems in Escherichia coli. Included several unknown homologues in alignment (Bateman A pers obs). It base-pairs with SorC.
Source: Rfam
ACUUCCUGGGCCGGAACGAAAAGUGCGGAGGGGUGACCUGAGGUGCUUUUGGCUUGUGGUUGUGAUGUUGUGUUUGCUAUUUUUUUGUCUGCUUCUUGCAGAUGUGGUAGCGAGUCUACCCUAUUCACUUCCUGUACAUUUACCCUGUCUGUCUAAAGUGAUUUUUUAUGUAGCACCGCAAAUUGCGGUGCUUUUUUUU